AGUGAACGCUGGCGGUAUGCCUAACACAUGCAAGUCGAACGGCAGCACAGUAAGAGCUUGCUCUUACGGGUUGCGAGUGGCGGACGGGUGAGGAAUACAUCGGAAUCUACUUUUUCGUGGGGGAUAACGUAGGGAAACUUACGCUAAUACCGCAUACGACCUACGGGUGAAAGCAGUGGAUCUUCUGACCUUGCGCGAUUGAAUGAGCCGAUGUCGGAUUAGCUAGUUGGCGGGGUAAAGGCCCACCAAGGCGACGAUCCGUAGCUGGUCUGAGAGGAUGAUCAGCCACACUGGAACUGAGACACGGUCCAGACUCCUACGGGAGGCAGCAGUGGGGAAUAUUGGACAAUGGGCGCAAGCCUGAUCCAGCCAUACCGCGUGGGUGAAGAAGGCCUUCGGGUUGUAAAGCCCUUUUGUUGGGAAAGAAAAGCAGCAGGUUAAUACCCCGCUGUUCUGACGGUACCCAAAGAAUAAGCACCGGCUAACUUCGUG
RNAcentral lists this ribosomal RNA (492 nucleotides) under uncultured bacterium. Its description in RNAcentral is "partial 16S ribosomal RNA". It matches the Rfam family "Bacterial small subunit ribosomal RNA", at positions 29 to 507 of the family's 1533-position model. The record is from RNAcentral.